CCUACGGGUGGCUGCAGUGGGGAAUAUUGGACAAUGGGGGAAACCCUGAUCCAGCAAUGCCGCGUGUGUGAAGAAGGCCUGCGGGUUGUAAAGCACUUUCGGUUGGGAAGAAAAGUUUGGCGCCAAUACCGCCGAACCUUGACGUUACUGACAGAAGAAGCACCGGCUAACUCUGUGCCAGCAGCCGCGGUAAUACAGAGGGUGCACACUUGGAUCGGAACGUGCGGGGGUGGUGCUGCAAGUGGUGUGUGAAAUCCCCGGGCUUAACCUGGGAACUGCAUUCGAUACUACAUGGCUAGAGUUUGGUAGAGGGAAGUGGAAUUUCCGGUGUAGCGGUGAAAUGCGUAGAUAUCGGAAGGAACACCAAUGGCGAAGGCAGCUUCCUGGACUAAUACUGACACUGAGGCACGAAAGCGUGGGUAGCAAACAGGAUUAGAUACCCCUGUAGUC
RNAcentral lists this ribosomal RNA (450 nucleotides) under uncultured bacterium. RNAcentral describes it as "partial 16S ribosomal RNA". It matches the Rfam family "Bacterial small subunit ribosomal RNA", at positions 338 to 795 of the family's 1533-position model. The record is from RNAcentral.